CGGUGCCGCGGCGCGGGCCGGAGGCGGGCGGCUCGGCCAUGGAGGCCCCCUCGGUGUCCUCGGUGCCGGCCGCCUCCGCCUCGGGGGCGCCGGCGGGGCGAGGGCCCAUCAAGGGCAUCCUGAAGAAGGGCGGCGGGAAGGCGGCGGGGGACAGCGCGGCCCCCGGGGCGAGGCGGGCCAGCCCGGCCCGCGACGACGACGAGCACGGAAAAAAAUCCCAGAAGUGGGAUGAAAUGAACAUCAUAGCUACAUACCACCCAGCAGGCAAAGAUUAUGGCUUGAUGAAAAUAGAUGAACCUAGUACUCCGUAUCACAGCAUGGUAGGAGAUGACGAUGAAGAUGCAGUGAGUGAUUCAGAAUCAAAUGAGCCCUUAAAAGCAGAUGUGUUGAGUAAAAAACUGGCAGCUGCAGCUGAAGGUAGGGGACCUAAGAUUAUAGCAAGGCUAGAGGAAAGCAGUGAGGAGGAGGAUGAGGAUGAAGAAUUAACACCUGAAGAACGAGAAAAGAAGAAGCAGUUUGAAAUGAAGAGAAAAAUGCACUACAAUGAAGGACGAAACAUCAAACUGGCAAGACAGCUCAUCGCAAAAGAACUACCUGCUGAAGAUGAUGAAGAGAUGUGUGAUGCUGCAGAUGUAGAAACGAUGAAUACAGAAGCUACUGAACAUGAACUUCACUCUCCAGGGGAAAGGAGGGCUCCAAUAGGCAACCUUAGGACCUUUCUCCAUGGCUUGAAGCUGCCAUCUCUCUGCACUCUGCUGUAAAACAGAGGCAACUCCGCUCCCCAGCUGCAUUCUCCAGUGGACAGAAGGCACACCUUUGCAGCAUUUUUCCAUCUCUAUUGUUGAAGUCCAUUCCACCUUGCCUCAUAACCAGCUUCUGAACCACAACUGAAUGAGAUUUCUUGCUGAUUGAAAUGAAGAUCACCAGUCCAGUCAGUAAUGCACAUGCUACUCAAGACCAGCUGGAAGGUAGAGCACGCAGCGUAGAAGAAAUCUGUCCAGAACUGUAACUGCUUGUCAAAGACACAAAUAUAAACACUGCUUCAUGAUUUUUGCAAUUCAGGCUCUAAUAUAUUGAGAAGCAUAUCAGUUACAAUGUUGUAUUGCCAAGAAUGUUAAUUUUAGACUUGUCCAUUAGGCAGAAAAAAAACUGUCUAAUUGAUUUAUUCUUGUGCCUAGUAUUUCAUGGAGAAUACUGCUUUAUUAUCUGUUCAACCAGAUGGCAUUCCCUGUAUGUAUAAUGCUGAUUAUCUUGCGUAAUGUACUGUUACUCUUCAUGCUUUGAAACACAGACACUAUCUCUGUUUUUUCACUAUUUAUUUGACAGUGCUCUAGGUGUGGUAUCCCUUAUGGAGGGGUUUAGGAUUCAAGAGCUAAACGGUACAGCAUAUAUCAGAUUGACACGCAAGCUAUUUAUCAGAUGUGUUAAGCAGUAUAAAAAGGGAUUAUACAAGUUUUAGAACUUCUUAAAAACAAUUUUGACCUCUUAAUCUAGAUUUCAGUGUAUUAUUACCUGUACUUCCUCAAUCUCAAGAAGAAAAGCUGUAUUUUUCAGACCAGUAUUUGGAAUCAGUUAUUUGCUUCUGACUAAGGCAGUGCUAACAUCUGGUGGAGGGAGUGUUUUACACUGGAAGCGUGCUAACUUGAACUUUGAAUUUAACUCAUUUUCUCUUCCACUGGAUGUUUUUUUGGAGCUCUCGGUUUAUCUUGAGAACAUGAAAGUUCCCUCUGACUUUUCUCUUAAAACGACAUCAACUGUUAUUCUUAUGGCUCUUGCUUCAAGCUUUUGAUCCUUUCCAGUUGCGUGAUGAGUUGUGCUUACAAGCACCUGAAGAAAAACACCCAUCCAUAAGGAAAAUCCACAUCAGGACUGUGAAGAUGGGCUGAGUUUAGGCUCUGUCUGUUCUUUAUGUGAAGAUAACUGCUGGUGAUCUGCUUGUUUGGGGUUUGUAACCUGCAUACUGAAAACCACUGGUCUAAAUCUUUCUGCAUCCAAGUAAGUUACUUACAGCAGCUGCUUUUGCAAAAUGAAAGCUGUUUGGAAGAUUAGAAAGGAAACUGCCUAAUUCAGAUAUGUUGUUUACGAUGUGGUUGUGUAGCCCUUGUAAAGAGGGAUUCUGAACCUCCACAUUGCUGUAAACAACUUCCCCCUCGAUGGAAUUUGACUAGUGAAUGUUCUAGUAUUCAAAAUAGUUCCUGGGUUUUAUUACAGCAAUGAAGUAUACACUUAAGCUUUAGCUUGAUUAUGGAAUACAGUGUAUAUCUUAAUUUUGGUCUGAAUUUGAUAUGUUGCAAAAAAUCCAUAUAAUUAUAUGGAUCUAUUUUAAAAUGUCUCUUUGUCCACUGUAUAUGUGAAGUUUGAAUAAAGGAAUGAAAGUUAUUUUACAGUUA
Molecule: RNA transcript, 2390 nt
Organism: Cygnus olor (mute swan)
Lineage: Eukaryota; Metazoa; Chordata; Aves; Anseriformes; Anatidae
Gene: PPP1R2
Gene name: protein phosphatase 1 regulatory inhibitor subunit 2
Exons: 8
Source: RefSeq, a predicted model, not a curated record